Amphimedon queenslandica is the source of this 1417-nucleotide long non-coding RNA. RefSeq lists it as uncharacterized. The transcript is spliced from 8 exons. The record is from RefSeq and is a predicted model, not a curated record. NCBI's taxonomy places the organism in Eukaryota, Metazoa, Porifera, Demospongiae, Haplosclerida, Niphatidae.
CAAUCAUAGAUGCUACACUCGAGCAGCAUCCGAGCCUUCACCAACUUUCUUUCCUUCUUUCUGAACGAACUAAUUUAAUUUCCUCAGUUUGAGCUCUGAGGAGGUGAAGAAACUUGGCGCGAAACGUGUCACGAACUCAACAUAUCUAUGGUUUGAUGACCUGAUGACCCCUACAUCCAAACAAUGGCCUGUGAGACUCGCUGGAGACUAGUCAGGCACUGUUUCCUACUGAAGCCCACUGUAGUUGGAUGCCCAUAAAGUGCACCAUUUUUAGAUGACAACAUUUAGAAUUCAAAAGUUUGAGAAUGAUGAGACAACAGUCCUACAGAAGAUACUACAGGACACUAUUGACACUGAGGAGCUAUAACAGUGGAGAAGAGGAAGAUGGCUAGCCAGGAUGAAGUGAUAAAUGAGAAUGAGGCUGUCACUAAACAAAAAAGGUCACCGUAAUUAUUGCCUUUUAUUUGUUUCUUGUUGUAUUUUGCAUUAAUGGAUUUUUUAUUCAUUUUUGCCCUUUUCUUUCCUUCCCAGUCAGUAGCUGAGAGGUUGUGGACCUACUGGACUUCACUUCAGACAAAAAUCAUGAAAGUAAACUUGACAUGGACAGCCACAUUAAUAAAAGAUUGAAAUACACCGUUUGUUCCCAGUGGAUUAAAACAAACAUUGAUGAAAGAGCUAACUAUACAUGUACAUGUACAAGUACAUGUAUGCAACUUGACCUGUGAUAUCACCAGAUCCUAACAUCAAUGAUAGGAAUACCAAUGAUGGUCAUUCUCGUGUCAAAUUACAAUUGAAAGUCCUAAUGUCCCUGGGUCAGAUUACACAUGUAUAUCAAGAUAAACUACAUACAUUGACGAAAAUCAAAAGGAAAAUUAAUGCCUAUAAUAUACAUCUCAGGGUCCAGUUCCUCACUUUAUUGAUGAUUUCUGGUUGAACAGAAUGUGGAGACAGUUGUAAUACUGACAAACCUAAAAAAGAAAUGAAGAGCAAUGUGUGGCCUAAUUCUGGUACAUGUACUGAGAUGUACAGAUUCUUUGAGACAACGCUUCACUCAAUGAAGGAAUACCCAGACUACACUGUACAUACAUGUACUUGGAAAAUUCAAGAUAGUUGACAGCAGAGUGAGAGGAUGCUGAGGGUAGUAGUCAACAUGUUAAACAGUUCCAAUGUGUACCUGAUUUUUCCGUUGGUCUUUUGGACGAGAGAGAAGAAGUAGAGAAAUGUCAGAGGAACUCUGAUGACAAACCAACAUUCACUGAAGGAUCAAUAUAUUGACUCUCUUCACACUUGUGCUAACUUCAGCUUAUGAAAGUGAACUAUAUUGUUUUUGUUUACUGAUUUGGUGCUGUACAUGGUUCUACAUUCCAAUAAUACUUGAUUGUUGGUAGUAUAGUUAUACUCACCGACAGUACAAUAA